RNAcentral lists this ribosomal RNA (465 nucleotides) under uncultured bacterium. RNAcentral's name for it is "partial 16S ribosomal RNA". It matches the Rfam family "Bacterial small subunit ribosomal RNA", at positions 28 to 507 of the family's 1533-position model. The record is from RNAcentral.
GACGAACGCUGGCGGCGUGCUUAACACAUGCCAGUCGAACGGAAAGGCCCCCUUGUGGGGUACUCGAGUGGCGAACGGGUGAGUAACACGUGAGUAACCUACCCUUGACUUUGGGAUAACUUCAGGAAACUGGGGCUAAUACCGGAUAGGAGCUCCUGCUGCAUGGUGGGGGUUGGAAAGUUUCGGCGGUUGGGGAUGGACUCGCGGCUUAUCAGCUUGUUGGUGGGGUAGUGGCUCACCAAGGCUUUGACGGGUAGCCGGCCUGAGAGGGUGACCGGCCACAUUGGGACUGAGAUACGGCCCAGACUCCUACGGGAGGCAGCAGUGGGGAAUGUUGCACAAUGGGCGGAAGCCUGAUGCAGCAACGCCGCGUGCGGGAUGACGGCCUUCGGGUUGUAAACCGCUUUCGCCUGUGACGAAGCGUGAGUGACGGUAAUGGGUAAAGAAGCACCGGCUAACUACGUG